RNAcentral lists this ribosomal RNA (249 nucleotides) under uncultured Acidimicrobiales bacterium. RNAcentral's name for it is "partial 16S ribosomal RNA". It matches the Rfam family "Bacterial small subunit ribosomal RNA", at positions 355 to 621 of the family's 1533-position model. The record is from RNAcentral. Lineage: Bacteria; Bacillati; Actinomycetota; Acidimicrobiia; Acidimicrobiales.
UGGGGAAUCUUGCGCAAUGGGCGAAAGCCUGACGCAGCAACGCCGCGUGCGGGAUGAAGGCCUUCGGGCUGUAAACCGCUUUCAGCAGGAACGAAAAUGACGGUACCUGCAGAAGAAGGAGCGGCCAACUACGUGCCAGCAGCCGCGGUGACACGUAGGCUCCAAGCGUUGUCCGGAUUUAUUGGGCGUAAAGAGCUCGUAGGCGGUUUAGUAAGUCGGGGGUUAAAACUCUGGGCUCAACCCGGAGAG